This 254-nucleotide ribosomal RNA is filed under the name uncultured bacterium. RNAcentral's name for it is "partial 16S ribosomal RNA". It matches the Rfam family "Bacterial small subunit ribosomal RNA", at positions 524 to 776 of the family's 1533-position model. The record is from RNAcentral.
UACGGGGGGGGCAAGCGUUGUUCGGAAUUACUGGGCGUAAAGGGCUCGUAGGUGGCCAACUAAGUCAGACGUGAAAUCCCUCGGCUUAACCGGGGAACUGCGUCUGAUACUGGAUGGCUUGAGUUUGGGAGAGGGACGCGGAAUUCCAGGUGUAGCGGUGAAAUGCGUAGAUAUCUGGAGGAACACCGGGGGCGAAGGCGGCGUCCUGGACCAAUACUGACACUGAGUGAGCGAAAGCCAGGGGAGCAAACGGG